Molecule: long non-coding RNA, 704 nt
Filed under: Ananas comosus (pineapple)
Lineage: Eukaryota; Viridiplantae; Streptophyta; Magnoliopsida; Poales; Bromeliaceae
Description: long non-coding RNA (ACOM_LNC029945)
Source: RNAcentral
CUCAUUUCAUUUAUGGGCCGAAAGUUACCCCAUUAAGGAUUCGUUUGGGAUUGCAGAGAUAUUGCGUUACGUGCGGUGAAAAAGUAUGUUGGAAAAAUACUAUGUUUAUUUCCGUACCUAAUAUUGCGUUCCGCAUAUCGCGAUGAGUCGGUUACAAUAUAUUUUCUGCGGUCCCACCGGAGAACGCAGAAGUAUAUCCCUAUAUACUUUUUCCUCAACUCCAUACUAUUUAAUAGCGUUAGAUAGGCCUCAAUACCAAACUAAGCCUAAAUGAUAUUAAACCAUGUGUGUGUAUAGAGUUAGGCUGGUAUAUUAUCGGCAGUACGGAGGAUUCUGUCCUACCAAGUUGUUUUUCAAUGAUAUGGCUUCCAAAUCGACGAAGCGGAGCGGGUCUUGUCGACGCAGAGCAGCGCGGCGGUGUUGCCGGCACUGCGGAGGAAGAAGAGGGCGGCAAUAGUAGCUACCGAGGAAGAAGAGGGAGGAAGAAGAAAGGUAAAAUUAUCUAUUCACGUUAUUAAUUAAUUAUAGUUAAGUAUUUUACCUGUGAUUAAUUAAAAUUUUCUAACGGAUCCUAACGGCAGGGACAUAUCUGAAUACAUUAGAACUUUUGCAAGAAUAAUUUAUAAAAGUUGAACUUUGUAGGAAUAUAUAUGCAAUUCAUUAUGUUUGUGAGAACCUGUAUACAAUUAACCCAAAUUUUUAAU